This 75-nucleotide transfer RNA is filed under the name Caudoviricetes sp. RNAcentral's name for it is "tRNA-Thr". It matches the Rfam family "tRNA". Rfam says of the family: Transfer RNA (tRNA) molecules are approximately 80 nucleotides in length. Their secondary structure includes four short double-helical elements and three loops (D, anti-codon, and T loops). Lineage: Duplodnaviria; Heunggongvirae; Uroviricota; Caudoviricetes. The record is from RNAcentral.
GCUGUUAUAGCUCAAUGGUAGAGCAGCCGCCUUGUAAGCGGCAGGUUACUGGUUCAAGUCCAGUUGGCAGCCCCA